This 253-nucleotide ribosomal RNA is filed under the name uncultured bacterium. RNAcentral's name for it is "partial 16S ribosomal RNA". It matches the Rfam family "Bacterial small subunit ribosomal RNA", at positions 524 to 776 of the family's 1533-position model. The record is from RNAcentral.
UACGGAGGAUGCAAGCGUUGUUCGGAUUUACUGGGCGUAAAGCGCACGUAGGCGGACAUUUAAGUCAGGGGUGAAAUCCCGGGGCUCAACCCCGGAACUGCCUUUGAUACUGGGUGUCUUGAGUGUGGAAGAGGUGAGUGGAAUUCCGAGUGUAGAGGUGAAAUUCGUAGAUAUUCGGAGGAACACCAGUGGCGAAGGCGGCUCACUGGUCCACAACUGACGCUGAGGUGCGAAAGCGUGGGGAGCAAACAGG